Molecule: ribosomal RNA, 254 nt
Filed under: uncultured bacterium
Lineage: Bacteria
Description: partial 16S ribosomal RNA
Rfam family: Bacterial small subunit ribosomal RNA
Source: RNAcentral
CACGUAGGGGGCGAGCGUUGUCCGGACUUAUUGGGCGUAAAGAGCUCGUAGGCGGCUCGGUAAGUCAGGUGUGAAAACUCUAGGCUCAACCUAGAGACGCCACCUGAUACUGCUGUGGCUAGAGUCCGGUAGGGGAGCAUGGAAUUCCUGGUGUAGCGGUGAAAUGCGCAGAUAUCAGGAGGAACACCAGUGGCGAAGGCGGUGCUCUGGGCCGGAACUGACGCUGAGGAGCGAAAGCGUGGGGAGCAAACAGG